This is an RNA transcript of Notolabrus celidotus (New Zealand spotty), 4913 nucleotides long. It is a transcript of the gene named solute carrier family 4 member 5b, with no coding region annotated. The transcript has 26 exons. The record is from RefSeq and is a predicted model, not a curated record. Lineage: Eukaryota; Metazoa; Chordata; Actinopteri; Labriformes; Labridae.
GGAGAUUUCAGUGGAUUUUUGCCAUAGCUUUCAGAGGACUGAUUGAAAGGCGCAGGUCUGACCCCUUGGAGGACUUCUCCCACAAAUCAGACAUGGCUAAUUGAAAUACCAAAAACUCGCUGAGGAAUAAAAACACCAAACACCCCCUGAAGCGGCGGAGCGGGAAAACAAGACGGACAGACGCACGUGAGGAGCGGUGAGAGUGCGUUUCUUCGGUCAUGGUGGAGAGUUAAGGACACUCGACCUCGACGAGAGGACAGGAGGCGACGCUGUAACGGGUUCUUUCUUGGCCUGAAAACAUUUCCAGAGGGUUUUACUUUUUCUCAUCAGGGAAACUACUCACCAUGCAGGACUCUGGGGCGUCCCGUUGGACCCUACCUGGUUCCCAUAUAGUAUCUCCUGCAGCAGAGCGUCUGCGCCACAUACUGGGGGAGGAUGACAACACCCCAACACCCACGAUAUUCACCGAGAUGGACACACUACAGCACGACGGGGACGAGUUAGAGUGGAAAGAGUCUGCCAGGUGGGUGAAGUUUGAGGAGAAAGUGGAGGAAGGAGGAGAGAGAUGGAGCAAGCCUCACGUUUCCACGUUGACCCUGCACAGCCUGUUUGAGCUCAGGACCUGUCUGCAGACGGGGAGUAUUCUGCUCGACCUGGAAGGAUACUCGCUGCCUCAGAUCGUGGAUGACAUCGUGGAUCGGCAGAUAACUGACGGUCUCAUCGCCCCGGACCUGAAGGAGAAGAUCAGCUUCGUGUUGCUCAGAAAGCAUCGCCACCAGACCAAGAAACCGAUCCACCGCUCGCUGGCAGACAUAGGAAAGUCCUCAAACGCCGCCUCCAACCGUAGUUCUCAUGUUAAUCUGAAUCGUAGCACUAGUUCGGCCUCUGGGAUCCACCGCUCCACAGAAGACCUGCGCUCCAGACAGUCCGGCAGCCUCGGCCGCCUGCAUCCUGCACAGAGCCGAAGCAUGAAUGAUAUUUCAGACACACCGAGCACAGACCAGCUGAAGAACAAGUUCAUGAAGAAGAUUCCUCGUGAUGCCGAAGCCUCCAACGUCCUGAUCGGCGAGGUGGACUUUCUGGACAAACCCUUCGUGUCUUUUGUACGUUUGGCUCAGGCGACGACUCUGGGAGGCCUCACGGAGGUCCCUGUCCCGACAAGGUUCCUCUUCAUCCUACUGGGUCCUCAUGGAAAAACCAAGUCCUACAAUGAAAUCGGCAGAGCUAUCGCUACGCUCAUGGUGGAUGAUCUCUUCAGUGACGUCGCCUACAAAGCAAGGGACAGAGACGACCUGAUUGCAGGCGUCGAUGAGUUUCUAGACGAGGUGAUUGUCCUACCUCCAGGAGAAUGGGACCCAAAGAUACGCAUCGAGCCCCCAAAGAAGGUUCCAUCUGCAGAAAUGAGGAAGUCAGUAAUGAACCUGAACGAGCUGGGUCAAAUGAACGGCUCGGCCAGCGGAGCAGCUGGAGGAGAGGACGAGGAACUUCCUGCUCCACAUGAGCUCGGAGAGGAGCUGAAAUUCACUGGGAGGUUUGCAGGUGGACUAUGGCUGGACAUCAAACGGAAGAUCCCAUGGUACUGUAGUGAUAUCUACGACGGCUUCCAUAUCCAGUCCAUCUCCGCUGUCCUCUUCAUCUACCUGGGCUGCAUCACCAACGCCAUUACCUUUGGCGGACUGCUAGGGGACGCCACCGACAACUACCAGGGAGUGAUGGAGAGCUUCCUCGGCACGGCUUUAGCAGGGACGGUCUUCUGCGUGUUUGGUGGGCAGCCUCUCAUCAUCCUCAGCUCGACUGGACCCAUUCUUAUCUUUGAGAAACUGCUGUAUGACUUCAGCAAGAGCAGCGGCAUCGACUACAUGGAGCUGCGUCUGUGGAUCGGCCUCCACUCCUGUCUGCAGUGUUUCCUGCUGGUGAUCACUGACGCCAGCUACAUUAUCAAGUACAUGACCCGCUUCACUGAGGAAGGUUUCUCCAGCCUCAUCUCCUUCAUAUUCAUCUCUGACGCCAUUAAGAAAAUGGUCGGAGCCCUGAAGUAUUACCCGAUCAACCGCGGCUUCAAGCCGGACUUCAUCACCGGAUACAAGUGUGACUGUAUCGCACCGGACCAGGCAUCUGGACUGGGUUAUAACAUUUCAGCUCCACUUGCAGAUGAUAAUAUGACUCUGUUGUUCAACUUGACGGACAUGGACUGGAGUCAGAUGAGUAAGAAAGAGUGCGUCAAGUACGGCGGCAUGCUGGUGGGGAAGGCCUGUAAGUACGUUCCCGACUUGGCCCUCAUGUCCUUCAUCCUCUUCUUCGGCACCUACUCCAUGACGGUCUCUCUCAAGAAGUUCAAGUUCAGCCGCUACUUUCCAACAAAGGUCCGUUCCCUCAUCAGUGAUUUCUCCAUCAUCAUAUCUAUCCUGGUGUUUUGUGGACUGGAUUGUCUCCUCGGUCUCGAGACGCCCAAACUGAACGUUCCCACCGAGCUGAAGCCUACCCGUCCUGACCGAGGCUGGCUGGUGAUGCCGUUCGGUAAGAACCCCUGGUGGUGGUAUCUGGCCAGCUCCAUCCCCGCCCUCCUGGUCACCAUCCUCAUCUUCAUGGACCAGCAGAUCAGCGCCGUCAUCGUCAACCGCAAGGAGAACAAACUGAAGAAAGGUUGUGGUUACCACCUGGACCUGUUCUGGGUCGGGGUCCUGAUGGCUCUGUGCUCCUUCAUGGGUCUGCCUUGGUACGUCGCCGCCACCGUCAUCUCCAUCGCUCACAUCGACUCUCUGAAGAUGGAGAGUGAGUCGAGCGCUCCAGGAGAGCAGCCGCAGUUCCUUGGAGUGAGGGAGCAAAGGUUGACGGGGAUUUUAGUUUUCGUCCUGACGGGGCUCUCAGUGUUCCUCGCUCCUGUUCUCCAGUUCAUCCCCAUGCCGGUCCUGUAUGGAGUCUUCCUUUACAUGGGCGUGGCCUCACUGAGUGGCAUCCAGUUCUGGGAGCGAAUCAAGCUGUACCUGAUGCCGCCCAAACACCAGCCGGACUUCUCCUUCCUGCGUCACGUUCCUCUGAGGCGAGUCCAUCUCUUCACCCUGGUGCAGAUCCUCUGUUUGGCUGUACUCUGGAUCCUCAAGUCCACCUUCCUGGCUAUCAUCUUCCCAGUGAUGAUUCUGGGUCUGAUGGUCGUACGAAAGCUCCUGGAUCUGAUGUUCUCGCAACACGACCUGGCCUGGCUGGACGACAUCCUGCCCGACAAAGACCAGAAGAAGAAGGAGGACGACAAGAAGAAGAAGAAGAAGGGGGCGGAGCCUGAGAGCGAUGAGGAGUGUUGCUGAAAAGGCACUGUAUAACACUUACUACAGUCUUUCUGUGUGUCCAUCCCCUCUAAGUCGAUCUGUCCUGCUACGCACCAACACUUAGGAACUGUUGUUUACUCUGUUAGCAUGUCGGACAGAGCUGCCGUCCACGCAUGUUUCUGUUUGAAGGAUAAGACUCAAGCUAUUCCAGAUUUUUGUCCCAUCAAAUGAUGUGUUUUCAGGUCGGUUAUCCAAGUUAGUUAGUUAGCUUAGUCUAAAUGAAAAGCCACAAAGUGCAUCAAAGUCUGAUAAUCAAAUAAACGAUGAGAAAAAAUGUUCAAACAGCAUAGUAGUUCGGCCAAAGUAGCUUUUUUUGAAUGUUAUUUAGACUAGCUAGUAAACGGCCUUAGCUAGCGAGCUAACUGCUAAAGGCCAACUAGCCAUCGCUAAAGGCUGACUACCCAAAUCAUGCUAACAACUCGAAUAGGAAACAAAAACUAGAACUUCCAGAAGCAAAGCAGACGAACAUUUGCAACGGAUAUAUUUACGACGAUGGAAGGUGAACUUUUCGGAAGUAAGCUACGAUGUGCAAAACAAUUACGAAAAGUAACGAAAGUGAAGGAAAGCCAUAACGAAAAAGCAACAUUUAAAACACACUUUAAAGAGAGAGCAGUGUUGGUCAAUGUGUAACAUUUUGACUACUAAACUAGCAAGCUAACCCCUACAAUGCUAGCUACCUUGCGCAUGCUAGCAAUAGAAAAAGGAGUCGUAACUUCCAUGUGACAAAAACAUGGAAUACUUCUAGUCUUAUCCAUUAAAAGCCCCUGUUUGUUCUGCAUGCCGACGACUUCCUGUUUGUUUGUUUGUUUGUUUGUCUCCCUCAGCCCAUUAGCUCCAUCCUCCCUCCAGUGGAGAUCUGCAUGGAGGCCAUAGAGCCCCAAACAGAGCCAGAUCCAGAUCCAGACAAUGUUAGCCUCCCCUCCCAAAACCAAACCCCUGAGUGAGAUCAACCCGUACUCGACAGUCACGUCCGAUCAAAAUGAAUUAGACCGCAGCAUCACUCUGCACCUGAAGAUCUCCUGCCCCCCCUCGCCCAACCCUUCCCAGACGAGCCUUGCCUCCGGGGACCCUCCAUCACACCCGCCUCCACGCCAGCCUGUGCCCCAGGUCCGCAUCCAUGUGAAGUCAGACUAUGAGGAGUCUGGCCUCUACCGCAGACCACAACAGCGACACCGCCACCAUCACCAACACCAGCACCGACACCACCAGAGUCUCUACCCCUCUCAUGUCACACAUUUACCUGUAAUGCAAAGAGACUUUCACCCAAAGCUGCACCCAUACUUCAUAGACCAGUGUGCUGAGACCGUUCUUUAGACACAGCUGCUCUUUCACACGUAUACAACUCUGAGCUCUCAGGUCCGAUCUCUGCCGGCCUCCUGUAGUGAUAACAACAAAGAAACAACCAAAAUGUGUUCAUCAUAACUCUGAUAAGUGCAUGAAGCCACUCUGAACCUGCGUUAGUCAUCAGAACAGCUGAUCAUCAUCUGUUUUCCUGUUUUUUUUCUUGUGAGAGAAGUGAUAUACAUUAUGAUUUAUAUGCAUUAUGGAUGUGAAGACCUGAAAAUGUAAUAAACAACAUUUAAAGUUUAA